CGUGUAGGCGGCUGGAUAAGUCAGAUGUGAAAGUCCUGGGCUUAACCCAGGAAGUGCAUUUGAAACUGUUCAGCUUGAGUAAGGGAGAGGAAAGUGGAAUUCCUGGUGUAGAGGUGAAAUUCGUAGAUAUCAGGAGGAACACCGGUGGCGAAGGCGACUUUCUGGCCCUAUACUGACGCUGAGACGCGAGAGCGUGGGUAGCAAACA
This 207-nucleotide ribosomal RNA is filed under the name uncultured Smithella sp. Its description in RNAcentral is "partial 16S ribosomal RNA". It matches the Rfam family "Bacterial small subunit ribosomal RNA", at positions 568 to 774 of the family's 1533-position model. Lineage: Bacteria; Pseudomonadati; Thermodesulfobacteriota; Syntrophia; Syntrophales; Smithellaceae. The record is from RNAcentral.